GGGGCCGUAGCUCAGUUGGGAGAGCGCUGCAAUGGCAUUGCAGAGGUCAGGGGUUCGAUCCCCCUCGGCUCCACCA
This 76-nucleotide transfer RNA is filed under the name Sphingomonas parapaucimobilis NBRC 15100. Its description in RNAcentral is "tRNA-Ala". It matches the Rfam family "tRNA". Rfam says of the family: Transfer RNA (tRNA) molecules are approximately 80 nucleotides in length. Their secondary structure includes four short double-helical elements and three loops (D, anti-codon, and T loops). The record is from RNAcentral. Lineage: Bacteria; Pseudomonadati; Pseudomonadota; Alphaproteobacteria; Sphingomonadales; Sphingomonadaceae.